Molecule: non-coding RNA, 30 nt
Filed under: Mus musculus (house mouse)
Lineage: Eukaryota; Metazoa; Chordata; Mammalia; Rodentia; Muridae
Source: RNAcentral
UGAUUAAGAAAACUUGCCAAAAACGGAGAC